Molecule: non-coding RNA, 26 nt
Filed under: Homo sapiens (human)
Lineage: Eukaryota; Metazoa; Chordata; Mammalia; Primates; Hominidae
Source: RNAcentral
GGUAAAUAGUGCAUAGCUUCCUGGUA